GGAGCUUUUGCUCCUGGUGGCGAGUGGCGAACGUUUUUUGUAGUAAUGCGUCGGAACGUACCGAGUAAUGGGGGAUAACGCAGCGAAAGCUGUGCUAAUACCGCAUACGCCCUGAGGGGGAAAGUGGGGGAUCGCAAGACCUCACGUUAUUCGAGCGGCCGACGUCUGAUUAGCUAGUUGGUGGGGUAAUGGCCUACCAAGGCGACGAUCAGUAGCGGGUCUGAGAGGAUGAUCCGCCACACUGGAACUGAGACACGGUCCAGACUCCUACGGGAGGCAGCAGUGGGGAAUUUUGGACAAUGGGGGCAACCCUGAUCCAGCCAUUCCGCGUGAGUGAAGAAGGCCUUCGGGUUGUAAAGCUCUUUCAGCUGGAACGAAACGGUGCGCUCUAACAUAGCGUGCUAAUGACGGUACCAGCUUAAGAAGCACCGGCUAACUACGUGCCAGCAGCCGCGGUAAUACGUAGGGUGCGAGCGUUAAUCGGAAUUACUGGGCGUAAAGCGUGCGCAGGCGGAUUGUUAAGCAAGAUGUGAAAUCCCCGGGCUUAACCUGGGAAUGGCAUUUUGAACUGGCAGUCUAGAGUGCGUCAGAGGGGGGUGGAAUUCCACGUGUAGCAGUGAAAUGCGUAGAGAUGUGGAGGAACACCAAUGGCGAAAGCAGCCCCCUGGGAUGACACUGACGCUCAUGUACGAAAGCGUGGGUAGCAAACAGGAUUAGAUACCCUGGUAGUCCACGCCCUAAACGAUGUCACUGGUUGUUGGGGGAGUGAAAUCCCUAGU
This 779-nucleotide ribosomal RNA is filed under the name uncultured Thiobacillus sp. RNAcentral describes it as "bacterial SSU rRNA". It matches the Rfam family "Bacterial small subunit ribosomal RNA", at positions 74 to 844 of the family's 1533-position model. Lineage: Bacteria; Pseudomonadati; Pseudomonadota; Betaproteobacteria; Nitrosomonadales; Thiobacillaceae. The record is from RNAcentral.